GAUGAAGAACGUAGCGAAAUGCGAUACGUAAUGUGAAUUGCAAAUUCAGUGAAUCAUCGAGUCUUUGAACGCACAUUGCGCCCCCUGGUAUUCCGGGGGGCAUGCCUGUCCGAGCGUCAUUGCUGCCCCCAAGCACGGCUUGUGUGUUGGGCCCCGUCCUCCGAUCCCGGGGGACGGGCCCGAAAGGCAGCGGCGGCACCGCGUCCGGUCCUCGAGCGUAUGGGGCUUUGUCACCCGCUCUGUAGGCCCGGCCGGCGCUUGCCGAUCAACCCAAAUUUUUAUCCAGGUUGACCUCGGAUCAGGUAGGGAUACCCGCUGAACUUAAGCAUAUCAAUAAGCGGAGGA
Molecule: unclassified non-coding RNA, 345 nt
Filed under: soil metagenome
Description: partial contains 5.8S ribosomal RNA, internal transcribed spacer 2, and large subunit ribosomal RNA
Rfam family: 5.8S ribosomal RNA (bases 1-119)
Source: RNAcentral